This 468-nucleotide ribosomal RNA is filed under the name uncultured bacterium. RNAcentral's name for it is "partial 16S ribosomal RNA". It matches the Rfam family "Bacterial small subunit ribosomal RNA", at positions 28 to 507 of the family's 1533-position model. The record is from RNAcentral.
GACGAACGCUGGCGGCGUGCUUAACACAUGCAAGUCGAACGGAAAGGCCCUGCUUUUGUGGGGUGCUCGAGUGGCGAACGGGUGAGUAACACGUGAGUAACCUGCCCUUGACUUUGGGAUAACUUCAGGAAACUGGGGCUAAUACCGGAUAGGAGCUCCUGCUGCAUGGUGGGGGUUGGAAAGUUUCGGCGGUUGGGGAUGGACUCGCGGCUUAUCAGCUUGUUGGUGGGGUAGUGGCUUACCAAGGCUUUGACGGGUAGCCGGCCUGAGAGGGUGACCGGCCCAGGGGGGACUGGGAUCGGCCCCAGCCCCCAGGGGGAGACAGGGGGGGGAAAUUUUGCAGAGGGGGCGGAGGCCUAAGGCGGCAACCCCGGGGGCGGGAGGAGGGCUUUGGGUGUGAAACCCGUUUUCGCUGGAGAGGAAGGGGGGGGGACGGUAGGGGAUAAAGAGCCGCCGGCAAACAACGUG